This is a non-coding RNA of Plectropomus leopardus (leopard coralgrouper), 382 nucleotides long. The record is from RefSeq and is a predicted model, not a curated record. NCBI's taxonomy places the organism in Eukaryota, Metazoa, Chordata, Actinopteri, Perciformes, Serranidae.
CGAAUCCAACAGAGAAUCAGUACUCUGACUGGUCCAUCAUCACCACCUUCUUCCUCAGCUGGUGCUGGAUUUAGUAAUGAGACAUAUGAACCAGACCUCACACAGGAUCAUGUGAGAGUUCCCCCAGUGCAAAACCAUCCGAUGGAAGCUGGUUUCAAUGAUGUCUCUGUCCCUGAUGGUGUCAGAGAGACGGAGGUGGCGUGAGGAAGGAGGAGCGAUGGUCCUGCCACCAAGAGGUGGCUUUGUGAAAUUAAGGCGAUAUCACAGCAGCAGAACUGCUUGUGUCGUCUUUACAUGUAACACACACACAUACACACACACAAAACAUACACAUUGCAUACACUAAACACAAGCACAACGCACACACUUGAAACGCUGAUUA